This 216-nucleotide long non-coding RNA is filed under the name Jatropha curcas. Its description in RNAcentral is "long non-coding RNA (JCUR_LNC002472)". Lineage: Eukaryota; Viridiplantae; Streptophyta; Magnoliopsida; Malpighiales; Euphorbiaceae. The record is from RNAcentral.
AUGUGGAUAUCAUAGACUGUGUUCACAUGACUCAUCAACUAGCUUUUGAUCAUGCUUUCCUUGACCACAAGAUUCACGUCCAUCUCCUCCUAUAUAUUUCUACUUUUAGCUAUUUUAAGUGAUUUUCUUUGUUGUUAUCAAUUUUUUUAUGGAUAAGCUUAUCAAACUGCAUCAGCACUCUUAAGCAAAUUAUAAUACUUGUUUAGCACUAAUUUC